AAGUGUUAUAGCUCUUUUAGAAUUUGUCUAGCAGGUUUUCUGGGACUCACCAGAAACCAUU
This 61-nucleotide small nuclear RNA is filed under the name Cervus hanglu yarkandensis (Yarkand deer). RNAcentral's name for it is "U7 small nuclear RNA (ENSCHYG00000004928.1)". It matches the Rfam family "U7 small nuclear RNA". From Rfam's summary of the family: Animal histone pre-mRNAs are spliced by a different mechanism than nuclear pre-mRNAs and self-splicing introns. This processing involves the U7 snRNP, which contains only one RNA species: U7. The 5' end of U7 RNA is thought to base-pair to a conserved spacer element downstream of the cleavage site in histone pre-mRNA. The record is from Rfam by way of RNAcentral. Lineage: Eukaryota; Metazoa; Chordata; Mammalia; Artiodactyla; Cervidae.